RNAcentral lists this ribosomal RNA (588 nucleotides) under uncultured bacterium. RNAcentral describes it as "bacterial SSU rRNA". The stretch from base 1 to 516 matches the Rfam family "Bacterial small subunit ribosomal RNA", at positions 338 to 873 of the family's 1533-position model. The record is from RNAcentral.
CCUACGGGAGGCAGCAGUGGGGAAUCUUGCGCAAUGGGCGAAAGCCUGACGCAGCCAUGCCGCGUGAAUGAUGAAGGUCUUAGGAUUGUAAAAUUCUUUCACCGGGGACGAUAAUGACGGUACCCGGAGAAGAAGCCCCGGCUAACUUCGUGCCAGCAGCCGCGGUAAUACGAAGGGGGCUAGCGUUGCUCGGAAUUACUGGGCGUAAAGGGAGCGUAGGCGGAUAGUUUAGUCAGAGGUGAAAGCCCAGGGCUCAACCUUGGAAUUGCCUUUGAUACUGGCUAUCUUGAGUGUGGGAGAGGUAUGUGGAACUCCGAGUGUAGAGGUGAAAUUCGUAGAUAUUCGGAAGAACACCAGUGGCGAAGGCGACAUACUGGCCCAUUACUGACGCUGAGGCUCGAAAGCGUGGGGAGCAAACAGGAUUAGAUACCCUGGUAGUCCACGCUGUAAACGAUGAGUGCUAGUUGUCGGCAGGCAUGCCUGUCGGUGACGCAGCUAACGCAUUAAGCNCUCGCCGUGGAGACGCCGCGAGAUAACUACAAUAGAGUAGACGACGUGAGACGUGCGACGACGACGACGAGGGAGAGG